Molecule: long non-coding RNA, 3243 nt
Organism: Poecilia latipinna (sailfin molly)
Lineage: Eukaryota; Metazoa; Chordata; Actinopteri; Cyprinodontiformes; Poeciliidae
Exons: 3
Source: RefSeq, a predicted model, not a curated record
AUCCCAUAAUGCAAAGCGGGACAGGAAGGGAGGGAGGAGGAAGAGAAGAAACAAGAGGAAGGAGGUGAAGAACCAGAAGAUUGAAGGUGAAGGAAAUGAAGUUAGAGAUGAAAACCAGACAGAUGAGGAAGAGGAGGAAGAGGUGAGAGGAUUAGAGCCAAUCAGCAUGAAGAUGUUGGUUCCUCCUGAUCAGAACCAAAACGGUUCAAACUUUGUUUCACUCUGGAGUCCUCCACUAUGUUCAGGACUGAGCUGCCAUGACACCAGCCGGAUCCAGAUCUCCCCCUCAACCUCUUCAGAACCGGUCCAGAACCGGUCCUGCUGCUCAGGGUGAAUUAAAGCUUAAUCCAGAGACGGAUCCAGGUGGAGCUAAACCAGAAACCUGGUUUUAAAUCCCUGGUUGGGACGCGCCAGGAUUCAGGAUGCUUUAGAAAUGCAGCCAUGUUGCCUCAACUUCCGCUAAAUACGGCAUUAGCCUAUUGCUUUAGCAUUAACUUCCGCUAAAUACAGCAUUAGCCUAUUGCUUUAGCAUUAGCUUCCACUAAAUACAGCAUUAGCCUAUUGCUUUAGCAUUAGCUUCCACUAAAUACAGCAUUAGCCUAUUGCUUUAGCAUUAGCUUUUGCUAAUUGCAGUGUUAGCAUAUUGAUUAAGCAUUAGCUUCUGUGAAAUGCUGGUACAGUGCUUCAGCAUUAGCAUAACUAAUAUUUCUGAAAAAUGCUUUUGGGUUAGCGCAGCCAACUUUUCAUCCAGGUUCAUCCUGGUCUCGUUAGUCCAGAACUGGAAGGAAACCUUCAACAUCUGAACCGUUAGCUGCUUCCUAGCCUGGCCAGCAGAGGGCGACCUGGAGGCUGGAGGUUUUUCCUCAACAAGCAGAACCUCCACAUAUUUGUUCUCAAUUAAACUCCGUCUCCACACGGGGACGGAGCGAAUUCAGGACAUCCUGAUGCUGGUUGGCUGACCGGGUCGGCAGGUUCUGCAGAGACCCGUUAGCGUCUCUGACCGGGCCUUCGGCCAUCUUGGCGUUUAAUCUGAAUUUUAGGAUCUGACGCAGAAAUUUGACCAACAAAACAGAACAAGCUGAGACCAGAGCUGAGAAGAAACCAGAGGAUGAACUACAAAUUAAAGGCUGACGUGUUGCCACGGUUACAGUAGGGCGGUUUUCUUUGGCGUAGUAAUUAGUGAAUCUAAUCUCUGGGGUUUUCCAGCUCUGGUCUCCCAGAGAGGACGGGUCCAGAUCUGGUUCUGACGGUAACAUGUUGCUUCUCUGCAGACGCAUGAACAGAUGACAUGAACGUGUUAUUGAGGCGGGGCGAGGCGUUACGAUGGAGACAGGUGAGAAAAGAGGACCUGGGUGGGGAGGGGGAUUAUCUCUCGGCCAAUCAGAGUUCUGCUCACACAGACUCAACUAAUCACAGGAAGCCCUGCAGCAGAUCUCAGGUCUGAUGUUCAUCGCGGUACCAACAGAAUCUCUGAGGCAUCUGAUGAAGAGUCUGGAAAAACCCAAAACGCCCCAGAUGACCUCUGACCCCUUCUACCUCUGGCGCUCCGCUGAUGGAGGCGCCACAGUCUGAGCGGCCUGGUCGUGCGGUUAGAGCUGUAGGUUGAGAUUUUCCUCCUGGCGAUCUGAAGAUGAUCUGGAUGAUGAGAGUUCAGAGCGACCGGAUCUGGACGGGAGGCUAUCCGGACGGAUCCAGAAUAUUCCUGGCCCGAUGUCGUAGCCUGCUGAGUGUGACGUCAGCCAAUCAGGAAGCGAGGUGACGGAAACGUGGAGGGGAAUCCAAAACGAUGGACGAUGGAGACGUUUAAUGUCGUCCACAAACCGUCUGCACUGCUUCUUCCCUGGCGGCCAUGUUUGUUUACUCCGGUUUGGGUUGGAGACUUCCUGUCUGACUGGACGUUGAUGAGUGAAGUCGGCAGGUGUUGGCGUUGCUCCUUGCCAAACGACAAACCGGUUACACCCCGCAGGUUUAAUGGAAGCAUGUCGGGUCUCUCUGGUUUCACUGGUUUUGCCGUCUGAACCAGUAGGACGCUGCUCAGGUUCUUCCUCCUGGUUCUGGUCUCGGGUCGUCUCUGGAGUCUGUCUCUCUUCUGGAUAUCUUGUGCCCCAAUGAUUUCUUCUCUUCUGUUUGAUGUUUAAAAAUUUCUUCUAAAGAAACUUUUGACCCAUUUUCUCCCGUUUCCAUGGGAACCGACUCGGACGGAAUCUGGACUUUUUACCCCCGGAUUCGAGCCGCCGACGUCCUGCAACCUUCAGAGAGCAGAACCGGGCCGAGGCUUUUCUGGAGACACCGGGUCAGUUGGACCUGAGGACCCGGUCCAGUCAGAGCAGACGAGUUCUUGGUUUCAGUCGGAUCCGUCUGUCAUAAACUGGAUCCAGGAACCGGUUCCGUUAAGAAGAACUCAGGUCUGAGGUUCUCUAGAACUCAGCAAGAAAAUGGAAAAGCUCCUACAGCUCCUAUGUUCAGAACCGAACCAUGUCCAACCUGAUCUGGUUCUGACCCAGUUAAAACCCGGUUCUGGCCUCUCAUAUCUGCAAAGCAGGAAGCGACUGGCAGCUAGAAGCUUCAGAAACAGGGAGGGGAGGGGGGACAGGAGCGAGCUCUGGUCCGAAUGUUUGCUCCAGGAACGGUUCCAGAACCAGAACGGCUCUAAAGUGGAUCAGACAUUUAAACUGUAGGAGCAGAACCGGGCCUCUGAGACCAGAACUGGUCCAGAUCCAGACCGCUGACAUCAGUAAGGAGUUCUGUGGGAACUUCAUAAAGAAAUCCUGACCAACAUAAUCUGAGUUUAAGACAAUUUACAAAAUUAUAAUUUUGUAAAACAUGAAAGUGAAAACUAGAGUGGAUUACAGAUUAGGGCUGACACGAUUCCUCUAAUGAUUCGAGUUCCUCGAUCACUAAAAUUCCUCCAGGAAAAUGUUCCUGCCUCUCAGCUUCGUUAGUUUAUGUUUUAUCAUUUAGCGCGCCGUGUUCCGGCCGGAACAUUAUUUGCGUUGCACAGAGCUCCGACUUCCGCCUCCGAGUUGUGACGUAAGCUAAGAGCUAUCAUCAUAACGUCCAAUCUUCAAGUUCGGCCCGCGGGGAUUUUAUUGAUUAGUGAUAAUUCCGGGUUUUCAUCGUUUUCGGGGAACCAAUAAUCAUCCUUAAAUGACCGGAGCGAUCCGGGAGUCCGGCAGCCUUUCUGCUCCGGAGCUGCUGGUUCAGAGCUGAGGAGGAUUUCUACAGGUGAGAGGAGAGACAGAG